UACGGAGGGAGCAAGCGUUACUCGGAAUUAUUGGGCGUAAAGGGCGCGUAGGCGAUCUGACAAGUCUGGUGUGAAAGCCCACAUGUUAACUGUGGAAGUGCAUUAGAAACUGUUGGAUUUGAGUUCAGGAGAGGAAGGCAGAAUUCCCGGUGUAGCGGUGAAAUGCGUAGAGAUCGGGAGGAAUACCAGUGGCGAAGGCGGCCUUUUGGACUGACACUGACGCUGAGGCGCGAAAGCCAGGGGAGCAAACGGG
RNAcentral lists this ribosomal RNA (253 nucleotides) under uncultured bacterium. RNAcentral describes it as "partial 16S ribosomal RNA". It matches the Rfam family "Bacterial small subunit ribosomal RNA", at positions 524 to 776 of the family's 1533-position model. The record is from RNAcentral.